AGUGAACGCUGGCGGUAGGCCUAACACAUGCAAGUCGAACGGCAGCACAGUAAGAGCUUGCUCUUACGGGUGGCGAGUGGCGGACGGGUGAGGAAUACAUCGGAAUCUACUUUUUCGUGGGGGAUAACGUAGGGAAACUUACGCUAAUACCGCAUACGACCUACGGGUGAAAGCAGGGGAUCUUCGGACCUUGCGCGAUUGAAUGAGCCGAUGUCGGAUUAGCUAGUUGGCGGGGUAAAGGCCCACCAAGGCGACGAUCCGUAGCUGGUCUGAGAGGAUGAUCAGCCACACUGGAACUGAGACACGGUCCAGACUCCUACGGGAGGCAGCAGUCGGGAAUAUUGGACAAAGGGCGCAAGCCUGAUCCAGCUAUACCGCGUGGGUGAAGAAGGCCUUCGGGUUGUAAAGCCCUUUUGUUGGGAAAGAAAAGCAGCAGGUUAAUACCCCGCUGUUCUGACGGUACCCAAAGAAUAAGCACCGGCUAACUUCGUG
RNAcentral lists this ribosomal RNA (492 nucleotides) under uncultured bacterium. Its description in RNAcentral is "partial 16S ribosomal RNA". It matches the Rfam family "Bacterial small subunit ribosomal RNA", at positions 29 to 507 of the family's 1533-position model. The record is from RNAcentral.